ACGUCGCUAGGUGGAAUUUCCCAGGUUACGGCAUAGACUAAGUAGACUACUUCCGCAGUAGAUGUCUGUCUAGCCACAGAGACGAGAGGCCACAGCAAGCUGAAAGUUCAGAAGAUCAUGUUUAGUAAGUGAACGACGGCGAUGGAAGGGAAAGGUCCGUAUCGCAUCUACGAUCCUGGUGGGAGUGAGGUCAAGGCCAGGGAUGAGGUCGUGGGGGGCAGCAGCUAUCGCCAGCUGCUGGAGGAGAACAGCAUGCUGAGGGAACGGAUGAAGGGACUUAAGAGCUUAGGUGAUCUUUUGGAAGAAUCCCAGUCGGAGGCUUCAAAGCUUCGGCAGCGGGUGGAGGAGCUGGUGAGGGACAACGAAGCUUUAAAGUCGGCCAGCUACGCCGCCAGUCUGUGUGCGGGAGCGCCGGUUCACACCGAGGCUCAAAGCAAACCCUGUUUACACCCCACUGCAGAGAAGGAGGAGCAAUCAAGCUGUUUAGGGAGAACACUUCAGCCAGAGAAGCCCCAUGAGGCCUUAUUGGAAUCCGAGAGGGUGAACAUGGAAGGAAGGAACUCUGAUGCUUUGGCUGCGGGGUUGGUGGCAGGAGCGCUUCCCCAGCUUCCUCAGGAGAACAACGAGCUGGCGAGCCAGCUGAAGCGGCUGGAGAGCUCUUUCAGCAUAUUUGCAGAGGAGUCGAACCCAAACCAGCUGCUGGCUCACCUCGGCCGCAUGGCGGUGGAGUUUCACCAUCUCUCCUCGAAGGUCCAGAAGAACGAACAGAGGACCUCUCUCCUACAGACGCUGUGUGAGCAGCUCAGACAGGAAAACAAUGAGCUUCGAAAGAAAAUGGAAGAAGAUCAUCAUAUCAGGAAUCGAGACUUGGAGCAGCUGAGACUGGAGAAUCAGAAACUGAAGGAGCUGGUCACGGGAGGAACAGCAGUGGUGUCGACUGCUUCACCGUCAGAAACAGAGACUCCAGAGGCCAAAGACGAGCCGGUUAAGGAGGAAUCUCCGGCUGUUCGACCUAAAAUGGAGGCCACCACACCACAGAAGAGUGGAAAAUCAGCAGAGAAAACCCCAGCUAAAGCAUGUGACAUAGAGGUGUACGAAAAGAAGAUCAAGCUUUUGGAGAAGCAGAGAAAGGAUGUUCUGGAGGUGAACAAGCAGUGGGACAUUCAGUGGAACGCCAUGAAGUCACAGUUUGAGCAGAAGAUCACAGACCUCAGGCAACGUCUGGCCGAGUCCCAGAAAACCGUGCUGGAGCUGGAGGCCGAGCGAGAGCAGAGGCAGCGCGACUACGACAAGAAACUGCUGCUGGCCAAGUCCAAGAUCGAGAACGUACAGGGCGAGAAGGAGUGUUUAAACUCUGAAACAACUGAGCUGAAGCAGAAGGUUCGCUACCUGCAGGAUCAGCUGCUGCCCCUCAGUAAGCAGAGGGAAUACCAGGAGAAAGAGAUCCAACGCCUUAACAGGGCCUUGGAGGAAGCCUUGAACUUGCAUUCCCCCUCAGCCUCUCAGCAACCUCCUGGACCGGGGAACUUUGCAGAUGCAGCCAAUAACCUGAAAAAACAGGAGCUGCUCACACAAAUUGCUGUACUAAAAGAACAGGUGAAAAUCUUCGAGGAAGACUUUAGGAAAGAAAGAAGUGACAGGGAGCGAAUGAAUGAGGAGAAAGAGGAUCUGAGGCGGCAAGUUGAGAGGCUCCAGGGUCAGAUUACCAAUUUGACCAAUCAACUACAUCAGGCUCAGAACGAGUGUCAGAGAGAACGAACUGAGAGAUGUAAGCUGGAGAGACUGCAGAUGCAGCAUCACAAACAGGGGCAGCAGCAGGAAAGACGUACCUCAGACCCCACGUCGGGCUCAGUGAACGGCCCGCUGAGCCCUCCCUACUGUGGUCCCUUUGUGCAGGUGGGAACGCAGGGCCUGGAGGGCUGGCCCAUUCACUUCCCUCCCCGGAUGCCCAACGCAGCGGGCGCCACGGCAGCAGCCACCACCGCCGCCGCAGCAGCAGCAGCAGCACCGCCCCCAGCUCGAGACUUCCAACCUGUUACCCCGGGUUUUCCUUGGCAGAUGUCAUUCCCUCAACCACGAGGGGCCAGAGCAGUAGGAGAGAGCUCAAGACCGCCACCAGAGAAUGCAGACCAGUCAACAGCAGCCACAGCGACAGGGUUUGGCAAAAGGGAGAGACAGAACAUCGACCCCGGAAAGCACUAAAGCAUCACCGUACCCAUCUGAUGGAGUCUGGGUAGUAGCAUGAAACUGUCUUUGAGUUGACAAGGGUUACUGGAAGCCAUUCCCCAAAAGCAAAUAGGACAACACGUGCUCAUUUCCAGCGCUGAAUGAUUAUAUAGGUACAAUGAAUCAUAGAAGUAAAAACAAUGUGAAUGUUAAUUGAUUUUAUGAGGAUUUCUACAGUGCCAUCGAUGUUCUAGAAAUGUCUAAUAUGUGUAACUGUUCAAAAGUGGUUGUUGAAAUACAAAAAUUUGAGGAAAUGAAUUUUGAUACCAAAAAACCAAAAAACAUGAUUGUGAUUACUAAUAAUUUAUUUAUAACCUGCUGUUUUGAUAGUUGCAUUUACUGAGUGUAAAUCAUUGUCUUUAGUAAUGCUGUUCUUUCUAUGUUGUUAGUGUAAUCCCAAUAUAUUGUAGCUAUUGACAUUGUAUGUUUGUAUCAGACACAAUACACAAUGCACAUUACUUAAACAUCUUUUUUUUCCAUGAUGAUGGACCUAAUCUCAUUAAACGACACUUCUACUUGGUUUUACCACGCAUUCUGAUAUCUAUGCUCAUUUUUACUGCAUCCUGUACCAUUUUUACUGUAGCCCCAACACACAGUUGCAAACAGAGCUUCAAAAUCUUAAGGCAGCAGGUGUGAUUAAAGUCCUAUUCGUACAACAACUUGCAUAUUGCAGCUCUGCUCCUCGGAGGAAAAAAAAAAAAAAACCUUGUCCAGGAUGUCUUGACGACGCUUUCAGUCCCAAUUGACAACCAGCAAUUGAUGCCAAGGGGAUUCGCCUGCAAGGUCAGAAGACCUCAUGAGUCUUCUGACUCAUGAGGUCAAUGUAAAACAAUGUAAAAUAUGUUUUACAUUUUUUUUUAGAUGUGGUCAAGCCAAUCUCAAAGUGGUUUUACCUCAGCACCAGUUAUUUCCUUAGUAUAAAGUAUUUCAAGUAGUUAGACGAAGGGCUUCAAAUUGUGCGGGACGGGACUUUGGCUCAGUUUUUUUGUGAAAUGAGUUUGUAAGUUUGCGGGGAACAAAAAUUUUUGAUGGGUGAGAACUGAGACAUCAGCAGAGUUGCACUUUGAAAGGUAUGCUGUAAUUUCUGGCAGGUGUAUUUUUCUGGUUUAUGGCGUUCUUUUUUUUCUUUCAUUUUGCUGUUGGCAAAAAGCACAUGUGAGACUUUUUGUAUUUGACUGGCUUAAUAAAUCUAUUCUAAAUGUCUUA
Molecule: RNA transcript, 3432 nt
Organism: Poecilia latipinna (sailfin molly)
Lineage: Eukaryota; Metazoa; Chordata; Actinopteri; Cyprinodontiformes; Poeciliidae
Gene: tnip1
Gene name: TNFAIP3 interacting protein 1
Exons: 19
Source: RefSeq, a predicted model, not a curated record